ACGGAGGGUGCAAGCGUUAUCCGGAUUUAUUGGGUUUAAAGGGUGCGUAGGCGGUGAAAUAAGUCAGUGGUGAAAAGCUGCAGCUCAACUGUAGUCCUGCCAUUGAAACUGUUUUACUUGAGUAACCAUGAGGUAGGCGGAAUGUGUAGUGUAGCGGUGAAAUGCUUAGAUAUUACACAGAACACCGAUUGCGUAGGCAGCUUACUAGAGGUUCACUGACGCUGAUGCACGAAAGCGUGGGGAUCAAACAGGAUUAGAUACCCUGGUAGUCCACGCCGUAAACGAUGAUAACUCGCUGUUGGCGAUACACAGUCAGCGGCUUAGCGAAAGCGUUAAGUUAUCCACCUGGGGAGUACGCUCGCAAGAGUG
Molecule: ribosomal RNA, 369 nt
Filed under: uncultured bacterium
Lineage: Bacteria
Description: bacterial SSU rRNA
Rfam family: Bacterial small subunit ribosomal RNA
Source: RNAcentral